CAUGCAAGUCGAGGGGAAACGACCCCUUAAGCUUGCUUUUGAUGGGCGUCGACCGGCGCACGGGUGAGUAACGCGUAUCCAACCUGCCCACCACUUGGGGAUAACCUUGCGAAAGUAAGACUAAUACCCAAUGACGUCUCUAGAAGACAUCUGAAAGAGAUUAAAGAUUUAUCGGUGAUGGAUGGGGAUGCGUCUGAUUAGCUUGUUGGCGGGGUAACGGCCCACCAAGGCUACGAUCAGUAGGGGUUCUGAGAGGAAGGUCCCCCACAUUGGAACUGAGACACGGUCCAAACUCCUACGGGAGGCAGCAGUGAGGAAUAUUGGUCAAUGGACGAGAGUCUGAACCAGCCAAGUAGCGUGCAGGAUGACGGCCCUAUGGGUUGUAAACUGCUUUUAUAAGGGAAUAAAGUUAGUCUCGUGAGACUUUUUGCAUGUACCUUAUGAAUAAGGACCGGCUAAUUCCGUGCCAGCAGCCGCGGUAAUACGGAAGGUCCGGGCGUUAUCCGGAUUUAUUGGGUUUAAAGGGAGCGUAGGCCGGAGAUUAAGCGUGUUGUGAAAUGUAGACGCUCAACGUCUGCACUGCAGCGCGAACUGGUUUCCUUGAGUACGCACAAAGUGGGCGGAAUUCGUGGUGUAGCGGUGAAAUGCUUAGAUAUCACGAAGAACUCCGAUUGCGAAGGCAGCUCACUGGAGCGCAACUGACGCUGAAGCUCGAAAGUGCGGGUAUCGAACAGGAUUAGAUACCCUGGUAGUCCGCACGGUAUACGAUGGAUGCUCGCUGUUGGUCUGAAUAGGUCAGCGGCCCAGCGAAAGCAUUAAGCAUCCCACCUGGGGA
Molecule: ribosomal RNA, 835 nt
Filed under: uncultured organism
Description: SSU rRNA
Rfam family: Bacterial small subunit ribosomal RNA
Source: RNAcentral